ACGAACGCUGGCGGCGUGCCUAAUACAUGCAAGUCGAACGAGAGCGACCGGUGCUUGCACUGGUCAAUCUAGUGGCGAACGGGUGAGUAACACGUGGGUAACCUGCCCAUCAGAGGGGGAUAACAUCCGGAAACGGAUGCUAAAACCGCAUAGGUCUUCGAACCGCAUGGUUUGAAGAGGAAAAGAGGCGCAAGCUUCUGCUGAUGGAUGGACCCGCGGUGCAUUAGCUAGUUGGUGAGGUAACGGCUCACCAAGGCCGUGAUGCAUAGCCGACCUGAGAGGGUGAUCGGCCACAUUGGGACUGAGACACGGCCCAAACUCCUACGGGAGGCAGCAGUAGGGAAUCUUCCGCAAUGGACGCAAGUCUGACGGAGCAACGCCGCGUGAGUGAAGAAGGUUUUCGGAUCGUAAAACUCUGUUGUUAGAGAAGAACAAGUGCUAGAGUAACUGUUAGCGCCUUGACGGUGUCUAACCAGAAAGCCACGGCUAACUACGUG
Molecule: ribosomal RNA, 497 nt
Filed under: uncultured bacterium
Lineage: Bacteria
Description: partial 16S ribosomal RNA
Rfam family: Bacterial small subunit ribosomal RNA
Source: RNAcentral